Molecule: microRNA precursor, 101 nt
Filed under: Marmota monax (woodchuck)
Lineage: Eukaryota; Metazoa; Chordata; Mammalia; Rodentia; Sciuridae
Source: RNAcentral
AAUAGCAUUUCUGGGUCACAUGGCAACUUUAUCUUAUAUUUUGAGAAACUGCCAAGAUCUUUUCUAAAGAUCAUUUUCCAUUUUCCAUCCCUACUAGUGAU